AGCCUAAACCCGUCAAGAUUCUCUUGCCGGGCAUGGCGAAGGCAGCCGCUACAGUGCAAAAAACUCCUCGUCCGGAGUCACUGUAGCGGUCGUACCCUCGAAAGAGGGCACGGGUCAGGCUGAAAGGUCUGAUC
RNAcentral lists this small RNA (134 nucleotides) under unclassified sequences. RNAcentral describes it as "LOOT RNA". It matches the Rfam family "LOOT RNA". From Rfam's summary of the family: Latescibacteria, OD1/Parcubacteria, OP11, TM7. Lineage (Microgenomates, aka OP11) The record is from Rfam by way of RNAcentral.